GAGACUCUAUCUCAAAAAAAAAAAAAAAACAUAAAAAAAACUAAUGUGGCGCUCCUUGGCCAGCCAGAACCUUGGGGGGCCAUCCUUUGCAAGCAGGGCCAUAGUGACCCACCCCACUCCUGGUGCAUUCCUGAUUCCACUCCAGCUGGGGUCAGUGAGCGCCUGUGCCUGGGAGUCUCCUGGGCGUUGUCUAACCCGCCUUCCUCCUGCUGCCGUUUCAGCCCUGCUGACUGCCUCUGUAGAGAGGCAGCCCAGAUGGCCGCUCCCAAGCUUGCUAGUGCCUUGGCUGAGAGACUGUUGUGGAGCUCUUUGCUGGCUAAUUUACAGACGGUUUUCAAGGAUAGUGCUUAAAAUGUGAGAGGAUUUAUCCAUGGAUAAAGAGCUAUAGGCUAAAAGAUUCUGCAAUUUCCCAGCUAUUUUUGUAUGUUGGACAUGUUAUCCCUUGAAAAGCAACCAGAAAUAAAAAGUCUUUAAGCAUUGUGA
Molecule: non-coding RNA, 483 nt
Organism: Macaca mulatta (Rhesus monkey)
Lineage: Eukaryota; Metazoa; Chordata; Mammalia; Primates; Cercopithecidae
Source: RefSeq, a predicted model, not a curated record